Molecule: ribosomal RNA, 444 nt
Filed under: uncultured Clostridium sp.
Lineage: Bacteria; Bacillati; Bacillota; Clostridia; Eubacteriales; Clostridiaceae
Description: bacterial SSU rRNA
Rfam family: Bacterial small subunit ribosomal RNA
Source: RNAcentral
UCCUACGGGCGGCUGCAGUCGGGAAUAUUGGGCAAUGGGGGAAACCCUGACCCAGCAACGCCGCGUGAAGGAAGAAGGUCUUCGGAUUGUAAACUUCUUUGAUCAGGGACGAAACAAAUGACGGUACCUGAAGAACAAGCCACGGCUAACUACGUGCCAGCAGCCGCGGUAAUACGUAGGUGGCAAGCGUUAUCCGGAUUUACUGGGUGUAAAGGGCGUGUAGGCGGGUUUGCAAGUUGGAUGUGAAAUCCUCAGGCUUAACCUGAGAGGGUCAUCCAAAACUGCAGAUCUUGAGUACUGGAGAGGAUAGUGGAAUUCCUAGUGUAGCGGUAAAAUGCGUAGAUAUUAGGAGGAACACCAGUGGCGAAGGCGACUAUCUGGACAGUAACUGACGCUGAGGCGCGAAAGCGUGGGGAGCAAACAGGAUUAGAUACCCUGGUAGUC